ACACCUCAACUCUCAUGGUUUGCCAUGAUGAGUUUGGACUUUGGAGGUCUUGCUGGCUGUGGUCAGCUCCUCUCGAAUAGAUCAGCUUGCCAGUGUUUGGUGGCAUCACAGGUGUGAUAACUAUCUACGCUUGUGGUUUUCUACCAAAUAACCUUCAGUGAUGGAGGUUCGCUGGAGCUAAUAAAUGUCUCUCCUCAGUGAGGACAGCUUUUCAAAC
RNAcentral lists this unclassified non-coding RNA (217 nucleotides) under uncultured Tomentella. RNAcentral's name for it is "sequence contains ITS2". The record is from RNAcentral. Lineage: Eukaryota; Fungi; Basidiomycota; Agaricomycetes; Thelephorales; Thelephoraceae.